Molecule: non-coding RNA, 27 nt
Filed under: Rattus norvegicus (Norway rat)
Lineage: Eukaryota; Metazoa; Chordata; Mammalia; Rodentia; Muridae
Source: RNAcentral
GGAGAGGGCUCAGUUGGCAAUCUGUUU